Molecule: long non-coding RNA, 314 nt
Filed under: Malus domestica (apple)
Lineage: Eukaryota; Viridiplantae; Streptophyta; Magnoliopsida; Rosales; Rosaceae
Description: long non-coding RNA (MDOM_LNC005855)
Source: RNAcentral
UCCCAUUGCUCAAAAUCUCAAGUGUGUCCCCAAUGUGCAUGACGAUGGAAUUUGGAACGCACUUGGCAGUGACCCACUUUCCUUCAUAGAAAAGCUGCAGGCCAGGAACCAUGUUGUGGAGGAUGAAGGUGAGUGCACUCACGUCAGUGUGAGCUUCAACACCAAGUGCAAGCUCCGGCUGAGGGCAUUUUGGGUAGUAGUUGAUUUUCAUUUGCAAGAGGAGCUCUUCAAGUCCACCAACUUCUUUCUCCAGCCUCCCUUCAUCCAAUCCCAAGCCAAGUGACAGAACUUUCAGUACCUUGGUUGCUAGCUCC